GGGUAGUGGAGUGGGAUCAUGGCUAUCACCGUGGCUCACCACGUGGAAUCAGUUAUGGGGAGUGGAGCGGCGUCCGCUGUCGCGACUCGUCGGGGAGAGGUAGAAUCGCACAGGAUCCGCCGCAGGGAGUGGAGCAGAAUCGUGGCCAUUAAUAAAGCCUGUCAGGGAGUAAUGGAGCUGCGUAGGAUCCGCCGCAAGGAUUGGAGCAGUGUUGUCCGUUACUGUGGCCUGCCAGGGGGUCCAGACUUGUCGGCCGA
RNAcentral lists this long non-coding RNA (257 nucleotides) under Elaeis guineensis (African oil palm). Its description in RNAcentral is "long non-coding RNA (EGUI_LNC045334)". The record is from RNAcentral. Lineage: Eukaryota; Viridiplantae; Streptophyta; Magnoliopsida; Arecales; Arecaceae.